This is a long non-coding RNA of Rhinopithecus roxellana (golden snub-nosed monkey), 1233 nucleotides long. RefSeq lists it as uncharacterized. The transcript is spliced from 3 exons. NCBI's taxonomy places the organism in Eukaryota, Metazoa, Chordata, Mammalia, Primates, Cercopithecidae. The record is from RefSeq and is a predicted model, not a curated record.
AGGGAGUUCUGCCCUGCCAACGGGUGCUGGCCACGAAAGAGGCUUAACCUGGCCAGCGCGGGAAUGGGGUGCAGAGAGCAAAGAAACGUGGCUUUGAUCCUAUGGAUGCCUUACUUUUACAUUAUUUGUAUAGUUCCUGCAGUGAGCUUUCCCGACCACAGUCUCGUAUGUUUCCUAAGAAAAGCAAACAGGGAAGACAUUGAAGAGAAAGUAGUAGUGUCAGAUUUUCAACUGCAAACUUUCAUCCAUUAGCUUUCAGCUUAAGCAAAUGUGGGCAAAGUUGUCACGGAUCUUUGCAGUAAGUAAGAACCAAGCAAGAAGACUGAAUCCCAAGUUGUCUGGGGCAGAUUAGAAAAGAAACAAUUUGCUGAAACUCCCUCUGCUUAUAACAAAACUGACUGAAAUCAGCUGGAAUCAAUGAGGCCAAAUGGAGUUUGCACACAGUAAGCUUGCUGACGUCACAGCCUGAAUUUCUACCACAUGUUUCAUACCAACUCCCUCCGAAUUUGCACAUGGGACCUACGAGGAAGCUCGACGAGAGAACCAUGCACGCCUGAAGACCUCCCAGAUGUGCCCUUUGCUUCCACCAAUUACCUGCUAAUGCCAGGAUCCACCCCCAAACCUUUUGUAAUAAAAUUACGGCUUUAAAGCCAGUACAAGCAGACAGAUUUGAACUGGACUCCUGUUUCCUCAGAAGUUGACUUGCAAUAUGAAGCUUUUCUUUUCUCAAAAACUUGGUGUCAUACUGUUGGUUUCUAGUGCAGUGAGCUCCUUUUGCUGGAUAACACUACCUGGUAAUUUGACGUACUAGGUGGUUAGUAACUACUGACUGCCUCCAGGUUACAACACAGUUACUCCCCACCUGGGUGAAAAGAGAAGCCAGGAAAUACAUAUUGGAGUCAGCUGGCAACCUGUUUACAAAGCAAUUUACAACAGUUCCUUAUUCCUAAGGGGUUGUUCUAAUGUAAGACCUCAGAGAAACAGUGCAGUGUAACAAAGGAGGAAUUUAUCAAAAGACACACAAAGAGCAUCAAGGCAAGCUGUGAAAUGGUGGGGUGGGAACCAAAGACAGAGCCAAAAGAUCUGUCACUGCAGCCCCUUAGGGUACGCAGACCCUUCCCUGCGCCCUGGUCUCCUUGUCUGUCCAUGAGAAUGCCGGCACCCAGCUCACUGUGCUGUAAACAUGAUGAGUUCCAACAAUAAUUUAUAAACUGCAAAAUCACACAAAUCUAA